RNAcentral lists this ribosomal RNA (1168 nucleotides) under Staphylococcus aureus. RNAcentral's name for it is "partial 23S ribosomal RNA". It matches the Rfam family "Bacterial large subunit ribosomal RNA", at positions 231 to 1403 of the family's 2925-position model. Lineage: Bacteria; Bacillati; Bacillota; Bacilli; Caryophanales; Staphylococcaceae. The record is from RNAcentral.
UCGAUUCCCUUAGUAGCGGCGAGCGAAACGGGAAGAGCCCAAACCAACAAGCUUGCUUGUUGGGGUUGUAGGACACUCUAUACGGAGUUACAAAGGACGACAUUAGACGAAUCAUCUGGAAAGAUGAAUCAAAGAAGGUAAUAAUCCUGUAGUCGAAAAUGUUGUCUCUCUUGAGUGGAUCCUGAGUACGACGGAGCACGUGAAAUUCCGUCGGAAUCUGGGAGGACCAUCUCCUAAGGCUAAAUACUCUCUAGUGACCGAUAGUGAACCAGUACCGUGAGGGAAAGGUGAAAAGCACCCCGGAAGGGGAGUGAAAUAGAACCUGAAACCGUGUGCUUACAAGUAGUCAGAGCCCGUUAAUGGGUGAUGGCGUGCCUUUUGUAGAAUGAACCGGCGAGUUACGAUUUGAUGCAAGGUUAAGCAGUAAAUGUGGAGCCGUAGCGAAAGCGAGUCUGAAUAGGGCGUUUAGUAUUUGGUCGUAGACCCGAAACCAGGUGAUCUACCCUUGGUCAGGUUGAAGUUCAGGUAACACUGAAUGGAGGACCGAACCGACUUACGUUGAAAAGUGAGCGGAUGAACUGAGGGUAGCGGAGAAAUUCCAAUCGAACCUGGAGAUAGCUGGUUCUCUCCGAAAUAGCUUUAGGGCUAGCCUCAAGUGAUGAUUAUUGGAGGUAGAGCACUGUUUGGACGAGGGGCCCCUCUCGGGUUACCGAAUUCAGACAAACUCCGAAUGCCAAUUAAUUUAACUUGGGAGUCAGAACAUGGGUGAUAAGGUCCGUGUUCGAAAGGGAAACAGCCCAGACCACCAGCUAAGGUCCCAAAAUAUAUGUUAAGUGGAAAAGGAUGUGGCGUUGCCCAGACAACUAGGAUGUUGGCUUAGAAGCAGCCAUCAUUUAAAGAGUGCGUAAUAGCUCACUAGUCGAGUGACACUGCGCCGAAAAUGUACCGGGGCUAAACAUAUUACCGAAGCUGUGGAUUGUCCUUUGGACAAUGGUAGGAGAGCGUUCUAAGGGCGUUGAAGCAUGAUCGUAAGGACAUGUGGAGCGCUUAGAAGUGAGAAUGCCGGUGUGAGUAGCGAAAGACGGGUGAGAAUCCCGUCCACCGAUUGACUAAGGUUUCCAGAGGAAGGCUCGUCCGCUCUGGGUUAGUCGGGUCCUAAGCUGAGGCC